RNAcentral lists this Y RNA (114 nucleotides) under Microcebus murinus (gray mouse lemur). Its description in RNAcentral is "Y RNA (ENSMICG00000047509.1)". It matches the Rfam family "Y RNA". Rfam says of the family: Y RNAs are components of the Ro ribonucleoprotein particle (Ro RNP), in association with Ro60 and La proteins. The Y RNAs and Ro60 and La proteins are well conserved, but the function of the Ro RNP is not known. Lineage: Eukaryota; Metazoa; Chordata; Mammalia; Primates; Cheirogaleidae. The record is from Rfam by way of RNAcentral.
GGCUGUUCUGAAGAUAGUGAGCUAUCUCACUUGAUUGUACACAGUCAGUUACAGAGUGAACUCCUUGUUCUACUACUUUUUCUCCUCCUUACUACUGUACUUGACUACUCUUUA